Molecule: ribosomal RNA, 253 nt
Filed under: uncultured bacterium
Lineage: Bacteria
Description: partial 16S ribosomal RNA
Rfam family: Bacterial small subunit ribosomal RNA
Source: RNAcentral
UACAGAGGGUGCAAGCGUUAAUCGGAAUUAUUGGGCGUAAAGGGCUUGUAGGUUGUUCUAUAAGUUAGAUGUGAAACCCCUGGGCUUAACCUGGGACGUGCAUUUAAUACUGUAGGACUAGAGUAGGGCAGAGGAGUGGGGAAUUCCUGGUGUAGCAGUGAAAUGCGUAGAGAUCAGGAGGAACAUCAGUGGCGAAGGCGCCACUCUGGGCUCAUACUGACACUGAGGAGCGAAGGCGUGGGGAUCAAACAGG